AAGUCGUAACAAGGUUUCCGUAGGUGAACCUGCGGAAGGAUCAUUAUCACAAAAUGAUUUUAGCUUUGUCCCAAAUUAAUCCUUGGGUCAAGCUAACCUCUUCUCUUAAACCAAUUUAAUUCAAAUGUGAAACUGUUCAGUUGUUUUUUUUUAUGAUGAUCGGCUCUAAGCCUUUCAAAACAAAAAAACACAACAUUUUUAACCAAUUGAACCCUAAUAAUUUUUUAGUUAUUUUAUUUAAUUUAGUUCUGAAAUAUUAUUAUAGAAACCUCACUCUUUUGUGUGGUUUUCUUAUAAUAAAUUACAUUACGAAACAAUUAUCAAUAAAACAACUCUUAGCAACGGAUAUCUUGGUUCUC
RNAcentral lists this unclassified non-coding RNA (359 nucleotides) under fungal sp. Its description in RNAcentral is "partial internal transcribed spacer region". The stretch from base 1 to 46 matches the Rfam family "Eukaryotic small subunit ribosomal RNA", at positions 1786 to 1831 of the family's 1831-position model. The record is from RNAcentral. Lineage: Eukaryota; Fungi. RNAcentral also lists the same sequence under 1 other name.